Non-coding RNA from Peromyscus maniculatus bairdii (prairie deer mouse), 463 nucleotides. The record is from RefSeq and is a predicted model, not a curated record. NCBI's taxonomy places the organism in Eukaryota, Metazoa, Chordata, Mammalia, Rodentia, Cricetidae.
CCGGUCCAGCGGCGCAGGUGUCCCCUGGGCAGCGCCCUUGAAGUCGGCGACAUUCCCAGUUCCACCCUUGCUCUCUGCACUGGCAAUGGCUUGUGGGAAAUUCUGUGGCUUCGGGAAAGAUUUGUGCUCCUCGGGCAGGAUGUGCAGUGCUGUGUUUGUCAGCACCUGCUUCUUGGUAAUCUUUAAGGACACCACCAACAGCCCCAGGGUGGUCACAGCUGACUCCUGAGUAUCCUGCUCGCUUUGACUGCAGAUGGGAAAAACACUCCACAACUCUUUUAACUACAUGGACUUUCAUAAAGAACAUGUGAGUACUUACUCAUCUUAGAACCUAUAAAGAAUCAUGACACUAAAGAGAAAUAUUAACACACACACACACACUAUUGUUAAGGGUUAAGAAUAAGUCUAAUUAUUAUGGUAAAUCUAUUAAUAUCACAAAUUUCACAUUACUAAUGUUAAGAGG